Molecule: transfer RNA, 58 nt
Filed under: Salmo salar (Atlantic salmon)
Lineage: Eukaryota; Metazoa; Chordata; Actinopteri; Salmoniformes; Salmonidae
Also listed under: 1 other name
Rfam family: tRNA
About the family: Transfer RNA (tRNA) molecules are approximately 80 nucleotides in length. Their secondary structure includes four short double-helical elements and three loops (D, anti-codon, and T loops). Further hydrogen bonds mediate the characteristic L-shaped molecular structure. tRNAs have two regions of fundamental functional importance: the anti-codon, which is responsible for specific mRNA codon recognition, and the 3' end, to which the tRNAs corresponding amino acid is attached (by aminoacyl-tRNA synthetases). tRNAs cope with the degeneracy of the genetic code in two manners: having more than one tRNA (with a specific anti-codon) for a particular amino acid; and 'wobble' base-pairing, i.e. permitting non-standard base-pairing at the 3rd anti-codon position.
Source: Rfam by way of RNAcentral
UAGCUCAGUUGGUAGAGCAUGGUGUUUGCAACGCCAGGGUUGUGGGUUCGAUCCCCAC